Molecule: ribosomal RNA, 420 nt
Filed under: bacterium
Lineage: Bacteria
Description: partial 16S ribosomal RNA
Rfam family: Bacterial small subunit ribosomal RNA
Source: RNAcentral
UGGGGGAUAUUGCACAAUGGGCGAAAGCCUGAUGCAGCGACGCCGCGUGGGGGAUGAAGGCUUUCGGGUUGUAAACCUCUUUCGCUAUCGAACAAGGCCCGCUUAGGGUGGGUUGAGGGUAGGUGGAGAAGAAGCGCCGGCUAACUACGUGCCAGCAGCCGCGGUAAUACGUAGGGCGCGAGCGUUGUCCGGAAUUAUUGGGCGUAAAGGGCUUGUAGGCGGCUUGUUGCGCCUGCUGUGAAAACGCGGGGCUUAACUUCGCGCGUGCAGUCGGUACGGGCAGGCUUGAGUGUGGUAGGGGUGACUGGAAUUCCAGGUGUGGCGGUGGAAUGCGCAGAUAUCUGGAGGAACACCGAUGGCGAAGGCAGGUCACUGGGCCAUUACUGACGCUGAGGAGCGAAAGCAUGGGUAGCGAACAGG